AACAGGAUUAGAUACCCUGGUAGUCCAUGCCGUAAACGAUGAGUGCUAGGUGUUGGAGGGUUUCCGCCCUUCAGUGCCGGAGCUAACGCAUUAAGCACUCCGCCUGGGGAGUACGACCGCAAGGUUGAAACUCAAAGGAAUUGACGGGGGCCCGCACAAGCGGUGGAGCAUGUGGUUUAAUUCGAAGCUACGCGAAGAACCUUACCAGGUCUUGACAUCUUGCGCUAACCUAAGAGAUUAGGCGUUCCCUUCGGGGACGCAAUGACAGGUGGUGCAUGGUCGUCGUCAGCUCGUGUCGUGAGAUGUUGGGUUAAGUCCCGCAACGAGCGCAACCCUUGUUACUAGUUGCCAGCAUUCAGUUGGGCACUCUAGUGAGACUGCCGGUGACAAACCGGAGGAAGGUGGGGACGACGUCAGAUCAUCAUGCCCCUUAUGACCUGGGCUACACACGUGCUACAAUGGUCGGUACAACGAGUCGCUAACCCGCGAGGGCAAGCUAAUCUCUUAAAGCCGAUCUCAGUUCGGACUGUAGGCUGCAGCUCGCCUACACGAAGUCGGAAUCGCUAGUAAUCGCGGAUCAGCAUGCCGCGGUGAAUACGCUCCCGGGCCUUGUACACACCGCCCGUCACACCAUGGAAGUUUGUAACGCCCAAAGUCGGUGGCCUAACCAUUUGGAGGGAGCCGCCUAAGGCGGGACAGAUGACUGGGGUGAAGUCGUAACAAGGUAACC
This 730-nucleotide ribosomal RNA is filed under the name uncultured bacterium. RNAcentral describes it as "bacterial SSU rRNA". It matches the Rfam family "Bacterial small subunit ribosomal RNA", at positions 771 to 1501 of the family's 1533-position model. The record is from RNAcentral.